UCAGGUGUCAGGAGGAGGCAGAGGUGGUACCUGUCACAGGGCGAAGGCCAGGGAGCUGCUUCCUCACCUGGCUCCUUCCCCAGGUCCCUGCUUCCCCUUCUCUGUGAGCGUGGAACUGGACGGUGUGGUCUGCCCUGCGGGCACUGCGAAUAGCAAGACAGAGGCCAAACAGCAGGCAGCGCUGUCUGCCCUCUGCUACAUCCGGAGUCAGCUGGAGAACCCAGAGUCCCCCCAGACCUCCAGCCAGCCUCCACUGGCCCCCCUGAGCAUAGAGAACAUCCUGACCCAUGAGCAGCGCUGCGCAGCGUUGGUGAGCGCUGGCUUUGACCUCCUGUUGGAUGAGCGCUCGCCAUACUGGGCCUGUAAGGGGACUGUGGCUGGAGUCAUCCUGGAGAGGGGUAAGGAUCGCCCUAGCCCUGACCCUGGCCCCCUGGGAAGGGCCCCCUCAAGCUCCUUGCCUUAGGCUGGGCCGUCUCUGCCCCUUCCUGCACAGAGAUCCCGCGUGCCAGGGGCCACGUGAAGGAGAUCUACAAGCUGGUGGCUCUGGGCACUGGCAGCAGCUGCUGUGCUGGCUGGCUGGAGUUCUCGGGCCAGCAGCUCCAUGACUGCCAUGGCCUGGUCAUCGCCCGCAGGGCC
This 636-nucleotide small RNA is filed under the name Pan troglodytes (chimpanzee). Its description in RNAcentral is "retained intron". The record is from RNAcentral. Lineage: Eukaryota; Metazoa; Chordata; Mammalia; Primates; Hominidae.